CCUACGGGUGGCAGCAGUGAGGAAUAUUGGUCAAUGGACGAGAGUCUGAACCAGCCAAGUAGCGUGAAGGAUGACUGCCCUAUGGGUUGUAAACUUCUUUUAUAUGGGAAUAAAAUGUUCCACGUGUGGGAUUUUGUAUGUACCAUAUGAAUAAGGAUCGGCUAACUCCGUGCCAGCAGCCGCGGUAAUACGGAGGAUCCGAACGUUAUCCGGAUUUAUUGGGUUUAAAGGGAGCGUAGGUGGAUUGUUAAGUCAGUUGUGAAAGUUUGCGGCUCAACCGUAAAAUUGCAGUUGAAACUGGCAGUCUUGAGUACAGUAGAGGUGGGCGGAAUUCGUGGUGUAGCGGUGAAAUGCUUAGAGAUCACGAAGAACUCCGAUUGCGAAGGCAGUUCACUGGACUGCAACUGACACCGAGGCUCGAAAGUGUGGGUAUCAAACAGGAUUAGAUACCCUUGUAGUC
Molecule: ribosomal RNA, 460 nt
Filed under: uncultured bacterium
Lineage: Bacteria
Description: partial 16S ribosomal RNA
Rfam family: Bacterial small subunit ribosomal RNA
Source: RNAcentral